Raphanus sativus (radish) is the source of this 1337-nucleotide long non-coding RNA. RefSeq lists it as uncharacterized. Lineage: Eukaryota; Viridiplantae; Streptophyta; Magnoliopsida; Brassicales; Brassicaceae. The record is from RefSeq and is a predicted model, not a curated record. The transcript is spliced from 2 exons.
AAGUAAAUUUUUUAAUAUUCUUAAUUUUUUUCAUUACCAUUAUGUCAUUUUAUUCAAUCCAUUCUCUAAUUAAAAUCAAAACUAUACUAAAAGCUCUUAAACUAGAGCAUUGAGGGUGUCCACGUCUGCACUAAAAAUCCACCAAUAGAGUCAUCUGUUUUUGCCAUGUCACACUGGCUUGGGUUGAAUUUUUUUAAAAUCCAUAAAAUGAUCAAAUUGGUCCAGAAGCCCAUCUAGUGAAGCCCUAAGCGGAGAGCACCGCGACUCUGAGCUUCGUCAAUCUCCUUCAUUUUUUUUCUUGCGCACAAAGACGAUCUACUUUUUUCUCGUUUCCACUUCCUCAACGGCGAUCAAUCGACUCUGUGAAAUGAAUCCUCCGUUAAUCUUAUUUAUGACUUUCUUUCGCAUUCCUCCCUCUAAGUUUCUUUAUAACACCAUUCUUUUCCCCAGAUUUAUCACUCAAAAAUAUCCUCUCAAGCGAUAAAUUCCAACAAAAAUUCCUCUGUUUCUGAUGAUCUUCUCUCGAAGAAACCAAACAGAAAGGACGGUGUCUCCUCCGCUGAGCCGAUCAAACUUACCGACCAAACCGGUGACUCUUCCACUAAAGCUGUCUCCGGUGAUCCUAUGUCGAAGAAACGAAACGGCAAGGCCGACUGUGUGCUCCGACGUGCCGAUCAAACAUAGCUUUCUCAAUGAUCCGCAUCGUGUCUGAACAUCGGCCGUACGUUGUCUUCUCAGACGGGUAAUGUCUAAAACUUGAACUUUUAUUGUAAGUAUUCAUUGGCUUCACCAACCUGGAAAUUUUAUACCUUUAUUUUUUUGUUUGUAUCGCAAGAAUAUAUACAAAUGGUGUGGCAAUAGAUAGUUUCUUCACCAGUCAGAUGUGGCUAAAGAAAAUGCACAACAGAUUGUGGUUAUGGAGCAGAGCAUCUAAUGAAAUCUCUAUGGAGCAUGAGAAUGGUUUAGACAGUGCAGGAUCCUCUCUAAGAUCGGUGUGGAUAACACGAAGGUUCUAAAAGCAACAGAUGAGUGCAUCCGACACCAACCAAUGGUGUAUGGAGAAGCUGUUGGUUCGAUGAUGAGACGUGAUUUAGAAGUUCUGUUUCAGAGAGCAAGACAAUAUUGUUCUGUUUCAGAGAGCAAGACAAUAUGAGAAAGACUUAGGGGACUCUUAUGUCUCAGUGAAGCAUUUGGUUCUUGGUUUUUAAUAUUCGUACUGCAAAUUUUGCAACGCAAUGAAGUUUGAUAGCAGAAGAGUUACGUUUUUUGUAACAAUCUUCAAGUUAUUAGUUUCUUCAUAUUCGACUAGGUAAAAACAUGUCCUCCACUUCUGAACA